UAGGGGGGAGCUUGUAUUACAGGCUGAGAGGGAGGUGCGACCUCCGACCCAUGUACCUGAUUUGGGUAAUGCCAACGUAGGGAAGAACUU
RNAcentral lists this non-coding RNA (90 nucleotides) under chicken gut metagenome. RNAcentral's name for it is "TPP riboswitch (THI element)". The stretch from base 4 to 83 matches the Rfam family "TPP riboswitch aptamer (THI element)", at positions 11 to 88 of the family's 105-position model. Rfam says of the family: Vitamin B(1) in its active form thiamin pyrophosphate (TPP) is an essential coenzyme that is synthesised by coupling of pyrimidine and thiazole moieties in bacteria. The previously detected thiamin-regulatory element, thi box was extended, resulting in a new, highly conserved RNA secondary structure, the THI element, which is widely distributed in eubacteria and also occurs in some archaea. The record is from RNAcentral.